UGGGUCAUGUAAUGCCUUGCACUGAAGAC
This 29-nucleotide non-coding RNA is filed under the name Rattus norvegicus (Norway rat). Lineage: Eukaryota; Metazoa; Chordata; Mammalia; Rodentia; Muridae. The record is from RNAcentral.